Rattus norvegicus (Norway rat) is the source of this 1312-nucleotide non-coding RNA. Lineage: Eukaryota; Metazoa; Chordata; Mammalia; Rodentia; Muridae. The record is from RefSeq and is a predicted model, not a curated record.
CCCUAAGCAGGACUCACUGAGCUUUACCAAGGAGCACAUAUUUGUUCUUUUUAUACCAAGACAGAAGGCCAGCUUCCUUCUCCCUAUCCCUCCUCCUUGAUCUUCUCUCUCACAAAUGGCUGUUUACUUUGAAUUAUAGGCCAAUUAGUAAACCCUAGAGGUAGAGGUACUUAAGGAAUAUCUGAGAGGCAGUUAAUGUCACGACAACACUUGUGACAUCACAGAAGAAUCUACUACUCUCCAGGUUACAAGAGAUUUUUCGUUGAGGUCUUAAUGGUGAUGUGACUGAGAACUGCCUUGUCCUACCUGCUAAACAGCUUUCCUUACAUUGACCAGAUUAGAGGGUGCCCUUUCCAGGAGUGUCUCCUGUGACACAGUGGAAACCUUUACAUACAUCUCUCUAAACCUAGAGACAUCUCUUUGCUUCAUUAGUGGUUACAUAUUCUGAAUGGAGAUAGUCAGGGGCUUGUUACUGGUAGAAAAAAUUAGGAACAUGGAGGGGAAGAGAUUCUUCUAGAUAAUAUUUUUAAUCCCAGUCAAUUUCUGUGACAUACAAAUCAAUUUUCUAGGUUUUCUCUGUUUCCUAUGGCCAGUGUUUUUCCUACAGACCUUUAAAUGAAUGAAUAUUUUACUACAUUUUCCAAUUUUACAUUCCUUGAUAGUGAACUUUAUAUAUAUUUCUGAAUGUUUACUCAACAAUUCCGUUUUCCAAUUUCAUUAUUUUGCAAUUGUUUUGGAACAAAAGUGGGCCCAGUUAUAGAGUCAUUAUAACAGUGAACCAUAGCCAGCAAGUAAAUCUAGAUGCUACUGAGUGGAUCCAGGCUCCAGCUUCCCACGUGUGGAAGGCUGAGAUCAACACCAUCUCUUCAAUGAACUAUAACUAUUCUGAGAGAGCAUUCAGUGAGCGUUCCCAUGGACUACAUAUUUCGUCGAUUUUUUAAACUAAAACAAAAGGCCAGCUUCAUUCUCUCCAUCUCUGAUCUCUUCUUCUUCUUUGUUCACCUCCCAAAUGGCUGUUUACUCUGAAUUAGAAGACAAUUAGUAAACCGUAGAGGUACUGAAGGAAUAUCUGAGAGGCAGAGCAGUCACAACAACACCUGUGACAUCACCGAAGAACCUAAGACUCUUCUGGAUAAAGAGAUUUUUCAGGAAAAGCCUAAUGGUGAUGUCACUGAGAACUGCCAUGGCCUUCCUGCAGAACAGCUUUCCUUACAUUGACAAGAUUAGAGGGUGCCCUUUCCAGGAGUGUGUCCUUUGACACAGUGGAAAAGAUUACAUACUACAUCUCAAUAAAGAAAGUGAUUUCUCUUUG